GCCGCCAUCCUGCGCGCCAGCGCCGACGCCAACGCCAAGGCCACGGCCAUGGCCAGGGCCGCCGGAGCCACCGGCAUCACCAGUAUCACCAGUAUGACCAGCAUGACCGGCAUCACCAGUAUCACCAGUAUAACCAGCACGACCGGCAUCACCAGUAUGACCAGUGCCACCAGUAAGGCCACCGGCGCUCCCAGUUUGGGCGGCGGCGUCAUCGUCACCAGAGCCGCCGCCGGCGCGGCUCCCAGCGCUCCCAGUUUGACCAGUACGACCAGUCCGGGGAGGGUCGGUGCUGGGAUUGUCCCUAAAGCCACCGGCGGGACCAGUCCGGGUGUCACCAGUGCGACCAGUGUGACCAGUUUGACCAGUGCGGCGGCUCCCAGUUUGACCAGUGCUGCAGCUCCCAGUGUCACCAGUUCGACCAGUUUGACCAGUGCUGUGGCUCCCAGUUUGACCAGUGCUGCGGCUCCCAGUGUCACCAGUGCGACCAGUGUGACCAGUUUGACCGGUGCGGCGGCUCCCAGUUUGACCAGUGCAGCGGCUCCCAGUUUGACCAGUACAACCAGUUUGACCAGUGCGGCGGCUCCCAGUGUCACCAGUGUCACCAGUUUCACCAGUGUGGCAGCUCCCAGUUUGACCAGUUUGACCGGUGCGGCGGCUCCCAGUGUCACCAGUUCAACCAGCUUGACCAGUGCUGCGACUCCCAGUUCGACCAGUUUGACCGGUGCCGUGGCUACCAGUUUGACCAGUACGACCAGUUUGACCGGUGCUACAGUUCCCAGUACAACCAGUUUGAGCAGUGCUGCGGCUCCCAGUUUGACCAGUUCAACCACUGCUACAGCUCCCAGUGUCACCAGUACAACCAGUUUGACCAGUGCUGCGGCUCCCAGUGUCACCAGUGUGACCAGUGCGGCGGCUCCCAGUUCAACCAGUCUGACCAGUGCUGCGGCUCCCAGUUCAACCAGUUUGACCAGUGCUGCGGCUCCCAGUUCAACCAGUUUGACCGGUGCUGCGGCUCCCAGUUCAACCAGUUUGACCGGUGCUGCGGUUCCCAGUACAACCAGUUUGAGCAGUGCUGUGGCUCCCAGUAUCACCAGUUUGACCAGUUCCACGGCUCCCAGUUUAACCAGUAUCACCAGUUUGACCAGUUCCACGGCUCCCAGUUUAACCAGUGUCACCAGUACGACCAGUUCCACGGCUCCCAGUUUAACCAGUGUCACCAGUACGACCGGUUCCACGGCUCCCAGUGCCGCCAGUGCUGCCGUUCUCAGCGCCACCAGUUUGACCAGUGCUCCCAGUAUGAGCAGCGCUGCUCCCAGUUUGACCAGUGGCACCCGUGCUGCGGCUCCCAGUGCUCCCAGUACCAUCACGGCAGCGGCUCCCAGUGCUCCCAGUAACACCAGUACCGUCGUGGCAGCAGCUCCCAGUACCACCAGUAACAGCGUGGCAGUGGCUCCCAGUGCUCCCAGUUCCACCAUGACACCGGCUCCCAGUGCUCCCAGUAUCACCAGUGCUGCGCCUCAGAGCGUUCCCAGUGCUCCCAGUUUGACCAGUGGCACCAGUGCUGCGGCUCCCAGUGCUCCCAGUAUCACCAGUACGGGCAUAACCAGCACUCCCAGUAUCACCAGUAUGGGUAUGGUGACAGCUCCCAGUGCUCCCAGUAUCACCGUGGCAGCGGCUCCCAGUGCUCCCAGUUUGACCAGUGGCACCAGUGCUGCGGCUCCCAGUGCUCCCAGUGCUCCCAGUACCAUCAUGGCAGCGGCUCCCAGUGCUCCCAGUAUCACCGUGGCAGCGGCUCCCAGUGCUCCCAGUGCUCCCAGUAUCACCGUGGCAGCGGCUCCCAGUGCUCCCAGUGCUCCCAGUAUCACCGUGGCAGCGGCUCCCAGUGCCACCAGUAUCACCAGUACGGGCACGGCAGCAGCUCCCAGUGCUCCCAGUACCACCAGUAUGGGCACACUGAUGGCACCCAGUGCUCCCAGUACCACCAGUGCGGCACCUCAGAGCAUUCCCAGUGCUCCCAGUAUCACCAGUACCACCGUGGCUGCAUCUCCCAGUGCUCCCAGUGCUCCCAGUGCUCCCAGUACCAGCCCACCAGCGGCUCCCAGUGCUCCCAGUGCUCCCAGUACCAGCCCACCAGCAGCUCCCAGUGCUCCCAGUGUCACCAGUACUGGCACACCAGCAGCUCCCAGUAUCACCAUGGCAGCGGCUCCCAGUGCUCCCAGUGCUCCCAGUGCUCCCAGUAUCACCAGUACCGGCACACCAGCGGCUCCCAGUGCUCCCAGUGCUCCCAGUGCUCCCAGUGCUCCGCCGGCCGCCGGCCCCAAGGGCAGCUCCUCGUCGUCGUCCUCCUCCUCCUCUUCCUCCUCGUCCUCCUCCUCCUCCUCGUCCGACUCCGACUCCGACUCCAGCUCCAGCUCUUCCGACUCCGCCCCGCCUUCGCCGGCCCCGCCCACCGGGUGAGGACACGCCCCUUUCCUUAAUUAACCACGCCUCAUUUGCUAAUUAACCCCUCCCACCGGGUGAGGACACGCCCCUUUCCUUAAUGAACCAAUUAACCACGCCUCUUUUCCUAAUUAAUCCCUCCCACCGGGUGAGGACACGCCCCUUUCCUUAAUUAACCAAUUAACCACGCCUCUUUUCCUAAUUAAUCCCUUCCACCGGGUGAGGACACGCCCCUUUCCUUAAUUAACCACGCCUCUUUUCCUAAUUAAUCCCUCCUACCGGGUGAGGACACGCCCCUU
Lonchura striata (white-rumped munia) is the source of this 2738-nucleotide long non-coding RNA. The record is from Ensembl. Lineage: Eukaryota; Metazoa; Chordata; Aves; Passeriformes; Estrildidae.